Non-coding RNA from Phoenix dactylifera (date palm), 882 nucleotides. The record is from RefSeq and is a predicted model, not a curated record. NCBI's taxonomy places the organism in Eukaryota, Viridiplantae, Streptophyta, Magnoliopsida, Arecales, Arecaceae.
CCCUCUCUCUUUCUCUCUUCUUCCUUCUUCCCGACGGAAAGGGGAGAAGGGGGUUCGGCCACCGGUGGCCCACGGCCGGCGACGCCCCAUGGUCGUCGGCCUGUGGCGGUGCCGGCGAUGCCACGCCCGGCGACGGCCGGCCGGAACGAGAGAGGAGAAGGCCGAAUAGGGCUCGGCUUCUCCUUCAAUCCGGCGACUUCCCGGCUACAUUCCCAAGGAGGUAAUGGCCAAAGACGAAGGAGAAGAAGGAGAAGAUGCUCACCCUGCCUCCGGCGAGCUCCUUCCGACCGGCUCGACGGCGAAAGCUCCGAUCCUCCCCGCGGCAAGAUAACAUCAGAGCUUUCAGAAAUUUGGAAAUAACGUGCCUAGCCUGCAUGCUCGAGUGAGGUAGGACCUCAGGAUAACUAUCCCACCGUACGCUAGUGCUUCUUCGGGACAUUGCGUACAAAUUGGGUGCUACUUUUCUUGAAAGAUUGUCUGCUUUCUUAUUGUGGAUUAGCUGAAUUCCACUGCUGACUAGUGUCCAGUGCUUAGCCUCUCUACUUCUCAUGCAAGAGUUUUCACUGGUGUCGGACCACACAGAGGUGAGCCAACCAUCCAAUGUCCAGGAGCUACCCAAAGUAAGUUCUUCAGUGCAUAUUUCUGCUCAAUAAUCUCAGACUGUGUGCUACAGUCUUGUGAUUUGUCAGGUUGUUGUUUCUCAGUUGUUGGUUGUAGUAUUUGCAUAUCCUCUGAUGGUGAACUUGUAAUGCUGGAAAUGCAAAUCCACUUGCAAUAGAUGGAUGCUCUUGAGUGGGAUUUUGUUUUCUUUAAUUCUUAUAAUGUCAGAGACAAUAUUUUGAAUUAAGAAUCCAAAAUAUAUUUCGUUUUAAUGGUUUUGAA